ACAGAACUGGCGAAAUUGGUAGACGCGUUAGAUUCAGAAUCUAAUGAUUUUAAUUAUAGUUGUCCGGGUUCGAGUCCCGGGUUCUGUA
Transfer RNA from Galdieria sulphuraria, 88 nucleotides. It matches the Rfam family "tRNA". Rfam says of the family: Transfer RNA (tRNA) molecules are approximately 80 nucleotides in length. Their secondary structure includes four short double-helical elements and three loops (D, anti-codon, and T loops). Lineage: Eukaryota; Rhodophyta; Bangiophyceae; Galdieriales; Galdieriaceae. The record is from Rfam.